UUGAAGACCACUGGUUUUGCAAAAAAUUCUAGAGAUACGUGUUUUUGUCUCUUGGAAUUACACCUUGACUUUGAAAAUUCUUUCAAACAAAAUGAUCCCAGGUUUUCCGAAACUAUUCCUGUGCCCUGAAAGCUCUGAAAUUAAAUGUCUGCUACUUUCGACCACUCUUUACAAAACCCAGAACAAAAAUAUUGAAUACUGCACAAAUCAAUCUGACUCUUACUAUUUUACGUAUAAUCUUUUGAAACACAUCCUACGUAGAAUCUAUGCCUUGUCUUUCCUUGAUUUCUUUAGCACCUGAAGCCUGCAUUUUAUUAAGUUUCACUACUCAUGAAAAACUGAACAAAACUAAACAUAACCAUAUAGAUAAUAAAUUAGGUCAGAAAUGCCCUAAACACUGAUACCUCGUUCUGGAAGUUUCUCAUGACCAACACAAUUAUAUCUUGUAACCUACAGAAGAACAACAGAGUCAGAUAUAUGGUAAUGUGAUGACUGUGAAGGUAAUUAAGGUGACAGUUGGCACCUAAAAUCAUAAUCCCCAUUAUCUGGCCCCGUUAUUCAAUGGCACAACAUGGUUGCCUCGCGAGAGCAGUGUACGACGCCACCCCUGUCGCCGACGCGUUCCAUUGUCGCGCUUGGGUCGCCGUGCGCUCGCCGGAGGACCGCGAUGCCGCGGGGAUUCUGGAGAAUAUACACCACCAGCUUAUCCCGGAGCAGCAAUAUUCUGAAUCUUCG
This 735-nucleotide long non-coding RNA is filed under the name Setaria italica (foxtail millet). RNAcentral's name for it is "long non-coding RNA (SITA_LNC006312)". Lineage: Eukaryota; Viridiplantae; Streptophyta; Magnoliopsida; Poales; Poaceae. The record is from RNAcentral.